CAUAUCAAUAAGCGGAGGAAAAGAAACUAACAAGGAUUCCCCUAGUAACUGCGAGUGAAGCGGGAAAAGCUCAAAUUUAAAAUCUGUCAGUCUUUGGCUGUCCGAGUUGUAAUCUAGAGAAGUGUUAUCCGCGCUGGACCGUGUACAAGUCUCCUGGAAUGGAGCGUCAUAGAGGGUGAGAAUCCCGUCUCUGACACGGACUACCAGGGCUUUGUGAUGCGCUCUCAAAGAGUCGAGUUGUUUGGGAAUGCAGCUCAAAAUGGGUGGUAAAUUCCAUCUAAAGCUAAAUAUUGGCGAGAGACCGAUAGCGAACAAGUACCGUGAGGGAAAGAUGAAAAGAACUUUGGAAAGAGAGUUAAACAGUACGUGAAAUUGCUGAAAGGGAAACGCUUGAAGUCAGUCGCGUUGUCCAGGGAUCAACCUUGCUUUUGCUUGGUGUACUUUCUGGUUGACGGGUCAGCAUCAAUUUUGAUCAUUGGAAAAAGGUUAAGGGAAUGUGGCAUCUUUGGAUGUGUUAUAGCCCUUGAUUGUAUACAAUGGUUGGGAUUGAGGAACUCAGCACGCCGAAAGGCCGGGUUUUAACCACGUACGUGCUUAGGAUGCUGGCAUAAUGGCUUUAAUCGACCCGUCUUGAAACACGGACCAAGGAGUCUAACAUGCCUGCGAGUGUUUGGGUGGAAAACCCGAGCGCGUAAUGAAAGUGAAAGUUGAGAUCCCUGUCGUGGGGAGCAUCGACGCCCGGACCAGACCUUUUGUGACGGUUCCGCGGUAGAGCAUGUAUGUUGGGACCCGAAAGAUGGUGAACUAUGCCUGAAUAGGGUGAAGCCAGAGGAAACUCUGGUGGAGGCUCGUAGCGAUUCUGACGUGCAAAUCGAUCGUCAAAUUUGGGUAUAGGGGCGAAAGACUAAUCGAACCAUCUAGUAGCUGGUUCCUGCC
RNAcentral lists this ribosomal RNA (936 nucleotides) under Cortinarius sclerophyllarum. Its description in RNAcentral is "partial large subunit ribosomal RNA". It matches the Rfam family "Eukaryotic large subunit ribosomal RNA", at positions 39 to 962 of the family's 3401-position model. Lineage: Eukaryota; Fungi; Basidiomycota; Agaricomycetes; Agaricales; Cortinariaceae. RNAcentral also lists the same sequence under 1 other name. The record is from RNAcentral.